AAGAUAGAGGCGCGGCUGACAAGAGUAGCUCCCGGAGACACGGCAGACACCGUGGGGGCGAAAGGGGAUGCCGCCGAGGGACUGAGAAGGCUGUCUGGCCUUUCAGCCGCCGGGCCGUCGGAGAAUAUCCGCCGGACUGUCACUGUUGUGGAGAGCUAUCG
Molecule: non-coding RNA, 161 nt
Filed under: human gut metagenome
Description: Lysine riboswitch
Rfam family: Lysine riboswitch aptamer
About the family: Riboswitches are metabolite binding domains within certain messenger RNAs that serve as precision sensors for their corresponding targets. Allosteric rearrangement of mRNA structure is mediated by ligand binding, and this results in modulation of gene expression. This family includes riboswitches that sense lysine in a number of genes involved in lysine metabolism, including lysC.
Source: RNAcentral